Molecule: ribosomal RNA, 495 nt
Filed under: uncultured bacterium
Lineage: Bacteria
Description: partial 16S ribosomal RNA
Rfam family: Bacterial small subunit ribosomal RNA
Source: RNAcentral
GACGAACGCUGGCGGCGUGCCUAAUACAUGCAAGUAGAACGCUGAAGGAGGAGCUUGCUUCUCUGGAUGAGUUGCGAACGGGUGAGUAACGCGUAGGUAACCUGCCUUGUAGCGUGGGAUAACUAUUGGAAACUAUAGCUAAUACCGCAUAAGAGUAGAUGUUGCAUGACAUUUGCUUAAAAGUUGCAAUUGCAUCACUACCAGAUGGACCUGCGUUGUAUUAGCUAGUUGUUGGGGUAACGGCUCACCAAGGCGACGAUACAUAGCCGACCUGAGAGGGUGAUCGGCCACACUGGGACUGAGACACGGCCCAGACUCCUACGGGAGGAAGCAGUAGGGAAUCUUCGGCAAUGGACGGAAGUCUGACCGAGCAAGGCCGAGUGAGUGAAGAAGGUUUUCGGAUCGUAAAGCUCUGUUGUAAGAGAAGAACGAGUGUGAGCGUGGAAAGUUCACACUGUGACGGUAUCUUACAAGAAAGGGCCGGCUAACUACGUG